Molecule: ribosomal RNA, 1468 nt
Filed under: metagenome
Description: bacterial LSU rRNA
Rfam family: Bacterial large subunit ribosomal RNA
Source: RNAcentral
GAUGGACGGCAGGUUAAUAUUCCUGCACCAUGUCCAACAGUCGAAGGCGUCAGGACGCCGUGUGAAAAGAGAGCACCCGGUCAGAUGAGGGUGUCCCGCAAGGGCGAGGGCAUAUAUGAUCCCGAAGUCUUUGGCAGCACGGUCAAGAAAAGCCGACGCUGGAUGUUGGAUGUGCCCGUACUAAAACCGACACAGGUAGGCGUGAUGAAUAUUCUAAGGCGCUCGAGAGAACGCUGGUGAAGGAACUCGGCAACAUAACCCCGUAACUUCGGGAUAAGGGGUGCCCCUUGGGGUGUAACAGCUUCGGGGGGCCGCAGUGAAAGGGAUCUGGCGACUGUUUACUAAAAACAUAGGUCUGUGCCAACGCGUAAGCGGACGUAUACAGACUGACGCCUGCCCGGUGUCGGCAAGUUAAGGAAGGGGGUUAACAGGCGCAAGCCUGUGAAGCUCGCAACCGAAGCUCCGAUAAACGGCGGCCGUAACUAUGACGGUCCUAAGGUAGCGAAGUUCCUUGUCGGGUAAGUUCCGACCUGCAUGAAUGGCGUAACGACCGGAUCACUGUCUCCACCAGCGACUCGGUGAAACUGUAGUUGUUGUGAAGAUGCAACAUACCCGCAACUAGACGGAAAGACCCCGUGAACCUUUACUGCAGCUUAGUAUUGGGCUUAGGCCCAGCAUGCGUAGAGUAGCUGGGAGGCUGUGAACCCUUUACUCCGGUAGAGGGGGAGCCGACAAAUGAAACACCAGCCUUGUUGUGCUUGAGUUCUAACCCCGACCCGUGAAUCCGGGCGGCGGACAGUGCUAAGUGGGCAGUUUGACUGGGGCGGUCUCCUCCUAAAAGGUAACGGAGGAGCCCAAAGGUGCCCUCAGCCCGGUCGGCAAUCGGGCAUUGAGCGUAAAGGUAGAAGGGCGCUUGACUGCGAGUCCCAUCAGACGAGCAGGUGCGAAAGCAGGGCUUAGUGAUCCGGCGGUGCUGGAUGGAAAGGCCGUCGCUCAACAGAUAAAAGGUACUCCGGGGAUAACAGGCUUAUCUCCUCUGAGCGUUCACAGCGGCGAGGAGGUUUGGCACCUCGAUGUCGGCUCAUCGCAUCCUGGGGGUGGAGAAGCUCCCAAGGGUUUGGCUGUUCGCCAAUGAAAGCGGUACGUGAGCUGGGUUUAGACCGUCGUGAGACAGGUCGGUCCCUAUCUGUUGCGGGCGCAGGAGGCUUGAGCGGUUUUCUCCCUAGUACGAGAGGAUUGGGAGGGACGUACCUCUGGUGUGCCAGUUGUCGUGCUAACGGCAGCGCUGGGUAGCCACGUACGGCCGGGAUAAACGCUGAAGGCAUAUAAGCGUGAAACCCUCCGCGAGAUGAGGCCUCCGGCACCCUUGUGGUGCGAAGGCUCCUGGAAGAUCACCAGGUCGAUAGGCUGGGUGUGUAAGCACAGCAAUGUGUUAAGCUGACCAGUACUAACAGCCAAACGCUUGGCC